GGAGGUAAAAGACCUGUACCCUGAAAAUUACAAAAUGUUGAUAAAAGUAAUUGAAGAUGAGGUCAGAGACUAGGGCCAAAAGUGGCCCUAACAGGGUCCUCCCUGAGUUUGGGGGAGGUGAGUUCCCAGAGAAUGGAGCUCUGUGUGAUGGCAGACUAGGCAGGAGAUGCCAUGGACCCUGCCUUUGGGGAGGGGCCUGGAAGAUGCCUCCUUAGCUGGAGCUUAGAAAAGACUCACUGCCAGUGAAGUGAGGUACCCACCACGGGGGAACCUUAUAACCCAACUCAGAAUACUCUACCCUGCC
This is a ribozyme of 304 nucleotides. It matches the Rfam family "Nuclear RNase P". Rfam says of the family: Ribonuclease P (RNase P) is a ubiquitous endoribonuclease, found in archaea, bacteria and eukarya as well as chloroplasts and mitochondria. Its best characterised activity is the generation of mature 5'-ends of tRNAs by cleaving the 5'-leader elements of precursor-tRNAs. The record is from Ensembl.